CUCCUCUCAGGGUUGCACCUGGAGAGUUUCUGGUACUCUACCAGGCUCAACUAUGGGAGGGAGAGCCAAGCAGAGGCAUAUCCAUUCCAUUCCUAGCUUGGCCAGUGGCUACGAGUGAAAGACAAUCGGCUACAAGU
Ornithorhynchus anatinus (platypus) is the source of this 137-nucleotide non-coding RNA. The record is from Rfam. Lineage: Eukaryota; Metazoa; Chordata; Mammalia; Monotremata; Ornithorhynchidae.